ACUCCUACGGGAGGCAGCAGUGAGGAAUAUUGGUCAAUGGUCGCAAGACUGAACCAGCCAUGCCGCGUGCAGGAAGACGGUCCUAUGGAUUGUAAACUGCUUUUAUACAGGGAAGAAACCCUCCCACGUGUGGGAGCUUGACGGUACUGUUAGGAAUAAGGAUCGGCUAACUCCGUGCCAGCAGCCGCGGUAAUACGGAGGAUCCAAGCGUUAUCCGGAAUCAUUGGGUUUAAAAGGGUCCGUAGGCGGCCUUAUAAGUCAGUGGUGAAAGCCCAUCGCUCAACGAUGGAACUGCCAUUGAUACUGUAAGGC
RNAcentral lists this ribosomal RNA (312 nucleotides) under uncultured bacterium. RNAcentral's name for it is "bacterial SSU rRNA". It matches the Rfam family "Bacterial small subunit ribosomal RNA", at positions 335 to 641 of the family's 1533-position model. The record is from RNAcentral.